GCCCGACUAGCUCAAUCGGUAGAGCGUGAGACUCUUAAUCUCAAGGCUGCGGGUUCGAGCCCCGCGUUGGGCU
Molecule: non-coding RNA, 73 nt
Organism: Aspergillus ibericus CBS 121593
Lineage: Eukaryota; Fungi; Ascomycota; Eurotiomycetes; Eurotiales; Aspergillaceae
Source: the annotation of a RefSeq genome assembly